CACCUCCACUAAGCGUGUCAUCUACAGAAGAGACCACGGGGCCUGUGACAGGAGGCAAAAUCUCCAGAACACAGGCUUCUUGAUAGUUCCUCUAAUUCCAUCGAAUCUGGAUUUAGUUUUCGUUUUGUUUUGUUUUUUUCUGAAAAACCAAACCAGUCUCCUCACUCUUCUCCCUUUAUCUACACGAAAGACAGAAAAGGAGCCCUUUUGCUAUGAAAACGAAUUCUUCCGUUUUUAAUCCUUUCAGCCAUGUCGCAUCAGCCAGGAGCAUGGAGCAACUAACAAGGGAAACAGAGAAAUAUUCCCAGCAAGCGCUGUCAUUGCCCCACCAGGGUCUGAGUGAAGCUGGCGGAAGUGGCGUCUCGGACAGCUCUGUGGUACAAGGACUCAGGGGAAGAUUGGAGAAAACUAAGACCCUGGCCCAGCAGUUGUCAAGGGAAGCCACCCAAACUGACGUGGAAGCGGAUAGGUCUUAUCAGCACAGUCUCGGCCUUCUGGAUUCCGUGUCUGGGCUUCAGAUAGUGGACGAUCGGUCCUUUCAGGUGGAAGCGAAGAGAAUCAGACAAAAAACUGAUUCUCUCUCUAGCCUGGUGACCAGGCAUAUGGAUGAGUUCGGGCGUGUGCAGAGCAAUCUGGAAAACUGGGAAAAAGAAACCCAGCAGCUCUUACAGAAUGGAAAAAAUGAGAGACAGAAAUCAGAUCAGCUGCUUUCCCGUGCCAACCUUGCUAAAAGCAGAGCCCAAGAAGCACUAAGUAUGGGCAAUGCCACUUUUUAUGAAGUUGAGAACAUCCUAAAGAACCUCAGAGAGUUUGACCUGCAGGUGGAAGACAGGAAGGCAGAAGCCGAAGAGGCACUGAGGAGACUCUCCUACAUCAGCCAGAGAGUUGCAGAUGCCAGUGACAAGACCCAGCAGGCCGAAGCGGCCCUGGGCAGCGCCUCAGCGGACGCCCGGAGUGCAGAGAAGACGGCCAGGGAGGCCCUGGAGAUCUCCAGCGAGAUAGAACAGGAGAUAGGGAGUCUGAACUUGGAAGCCAAUGUGACUGCAGAUGGGGCUUUGGCCAUGGAAAAGGGACUGGCCACUCUAAAGAGCGAGAUGAGGGAGGUGGAAGCAGAGCUGGCCAGGAGGCAGCUGGAGUUUGACACGGACAGGGAUGCGGUGCAGAUGGUGAUUACAGAAGCCCAGAGAGUUGAUACCAGAGCCAAGAAUGCAGGCGUUACAAUCCAAGACACGCUCAGCACCCUGGACGGCAUCCUACAUCUGAUAGACCAGCCUAAUGCUGUGGAUGAAGAGCGACUGAUCUUAUUGGAGGAGGAGCUUUUCCGUGCCAAGACCCGGAUCAACAGCCAGCUGAGGCCCUUGAUGGCAGAGCUGGAGGAGAGGGCGCGUCGACAGAAGGGCCACCUCCAUCUGCUGCAGACAAGCAUAGAUGGAAUUCUGGCGGACGUGAAGAACCUGGAAAACAUUAGGGACAACCUGCCCCCGGGCUGCUACAAUACCCAGGCUCUCGAGCAACAGUGA
Molecule: long non-coding RNA, 1520 nt
Filed under: Ictidomys tridecemlineatus (thirteen-lined ground squirrel)
Lineage: Eukaryota; Metazoa; Chordata; Mammalia; Rodentia; Sciuridae
Description: lncRNA (ENSSTOG00000030652.1)
Source: RNAcentral